RNAcentral lists this ribosomal RNA (438 nucleotides) under uncultured bacterium. Its description in RNAcentral is "partial 16S ribosomal RNA". It matches the Rfam family "Bacterial small subunit ribosomal RNA", at positions 339 to 795 of the family's 1533-position model. The record is from RNAcentral.
CUACGGGCCGCUGCAGUGAGGAAUAUUGCACAAUGGGGGGAACCCUGAUGCAGCAACGCCGCGUGGAGGAUGACGCAUUUCGGUGUGUAAACUCCUUUUAUAUGUCAAGAAAAUGACGGUAGCAUAUGAAUAAGCACCGGCUAACUCCGUGCCAGUAGCCGCGGUAAUACGGAGGGUGCAAGCGUUACUCGGAAUCACUGGCGUAAAGGACGCGUAGGCGGGUUGGAAAGUCAGGUGUGAAAUCCUACAGCUUAACUGUAGAACUGCACUUGAAACUUCUAAUCUAGAGUAUGGGAGGGGGAGAUGGAAUUAGUGGUGUAGGGGUAAAAUCCGUAGAUAUCACUAGGAAUACCUAAAGCGAAGGCGAUCUCCUGGAACAUUACUGACGCUAAGGCGUGAAAGCGUGGGGAGCAAACAGGAUUAGAUACCCCAGUAGUC